AGCGAACGCUGGCGGCAGGCCUAACACAUGCAAGUCGAACGGACCCUUCGGGGUUAGUGGCGGACAGGUGAGUAACACGUGGGAACGUGCCUUUAGGUUCGGAAUAGCUCCUGGAAACGGGUGGUAAUGCCGCAUGUGCCCUUCGGGGGAAAGAUUUAUAGCCUUUAGAGCGGCCCGCGUCUGAUUAGCUAGUUGGUGAGGUAAUGGCAUACCAAGGCGACGAUCAGUAGCAGGUCUGAGAGGACGACCAGCCACACUGGGACUGAGACACGGCCCAGACUCCUACGGGAGGCAGCAGUGGGGAAUCUUGCGCAAUGGGCGAAAGCCUGACGCAGCCAUGCCGCGUGAAUGAUGAAGGUCUUAGGAUUGUAAAAUUCUUUCACCGGGGACGAUAAUGACGGUACCCGGAGAAGAAGCCCCGGCUAACUUCGUGCCAGCAGCCGCCGUAA
Molecule: ribosomal RNA, 449 nt
Filed under: uncultured bacterium
Lineage: Bacteria
Description: partial 16S ribosomal RNA
Rfam family: Bacterial small subunit ribosomal RNA
Source: RNAcentral